GGAAAUGUGCCCGAAAGUCAAGGGCCUCUUUGAUAAAGAGGAUAAUGGAGGUCCAAGUCCCCCCAAUUCCA
This 71-nucleotide transfer RNA is filed under the name Cryptobatrachus sp. TNHC-GDC 451. RNAcentral's name for it is "tRNA-Ile". It matches the Rfam family "tRNA". From Rfam's summary of the family: Transfer RNA (tRNA) molecules are approximately 80 nucleotides in length. Their secondary structure includes four short double-helical elements and three loops (D, anti-codon, and T loops). The record is from RNAcentral. Lineage: Eukaryota; Metazoa; Chordata; Amphibia; Anura; Hemiphractidae.